Molecule: transfer RNA, 69 nt
Filed under: Camelus bactrianus (Bactrian camel)
Lineage: Eukaryota; Metazoa; Chordata; Mammalia; Artiodactyla; Camelidae
Also listed under: 2 other names
Rfam family: tRNA
About the family: Transfer RNA (tRNA) molecules are approximately 80 nucleotides in length. Their secondary structure includes four short double-helical elements and three loops (D, anti-codon, and T loops).
Source: Rfam by way of RNAcentral
GGAGUGGCUCAGGGGUAGAGUGCCUGCCUGGCAUGCACGAGGUCCUGGGUUCAAUCCCCAGUACCUCCA